This 488-nucleotide ribosomal RNA is filed under the name uncultured bacterium. RNAcentral describes it as "bacterial SSU rRNA". It matches the Rfam family "Bacterial small subunit ribosomal RNA", at positions 15 to 518 of the family's 1533-position model. The record is from RNAcentral.
GAUCAUGGCUCAGGACGAACGCUGGCGGCGUGCCUAACACAUGCAAGUCGAGCGAGGAGAUCCCUUCGGGGAUGAACCUAGCGGCGGACGGGUGAGUAACACGUGGGCAACCUGCCUUAUAGAGGGGAAUAGCCUUCCGAAAGGAAGAUUAAUACCGCAUAACAUUACAUUUUCGCAUGAAGAAGUAAUUAAAGGAGUAAUCCGCUAUAAGAUGGGCCCGCGGCGCAUUAGCUAGUUGGUGAGGUAACGGCUCACCAAGGCGACGAUGCGUAGCCGACCUGAGAGGGUGAUCGGCCACAUUGGGACUGAGACACGGCCCAGACUCCUACGGGAGGCAGCAGUGGGGGAUAUUGCACAAUGGGGGAAACCCUGAUGCCAGCAACGCCGCGUGAGUGAUGAAGGUCUUCGGAUCGUAAAGCUCUGUCUUCAGGGACGAUAAUGACGGUACCUGAGGAGGAAGCCACGGCUAACUACGUGCCAGCCGCCGC